UACGGAGGGUGCAAGCAUUAAUCGGAUUUAUUGGGCGUAAAGGGCGCGUAGGCGGAUAUGAAAGUCAGAUGUGAAAUUCCGAAGCUCAACUUCGGAGCUGCAUUUGAAACUCUAUGUCUAGAGGGAUGGCGGAGAAAAUGGAAUUCCACGUGUAGCGGUGAAAUGCGUAGAUAUGUGGAAGAACACCAGUGGCGAAAGCGGUUUUCUAGCUAUUUCCUGACGCUGAGGCGCGAGAGCAAGGGGAGCAAACAGG
This 253-nucleotide ribosomal RNA is filed under the name uncultured Simkania sp. RNAcentral's name for it is "partial 16S ribosomal RNA". It matches the Rfam family "Bacterial small subunit ribosomal RNA", at positions 524 to 776 of the family's 1533-position model. Lineage: Bacteria; Pseudomonadati; Chlamydiota; Chlamydiia; Parachlamydiales; Simkaniaceae. The record is from RNAcentral.